Molecule: long non-coding RNA, 633 nt
Organism: Cyphomyrmex costatus
Lineage: Eukaryota; Metazoa; Arthropoda; Insecta; Hymenoptera; Formicidae
Exons: 4
Source: RefSeq, a predicted model, not a curated record
AAUAACACGGAGUUGAGUUUAAGUGGAUCCUUUCCAACUCUUGAUUUGAUUAUUGAAGAGGCGUUAUAUGCUCAACAUUUAUAUCGAAGAGGCGUUAUAUGCUCAUCUCGUUGCUCAUUGGCUUUUGGACACAUGCAACUGCUCUCUAGCACUGGUUCUUCAACAGUCAAAACAAAUUGCAAAGGUCUCUUACUUUUACACCCAGCAUCCGAGAAUGGAUUAAAAUGGAUUGGACUAUUCGAAUUCGUACUUUAAACAGCGAAAACUUUUUUUUGGAUUCAAUUGGAUGCACCUGGAUUGAAAAACUGCGUUUCCUAUUCAAAAUUUUGAAUUGUACAGUAUUCACUAUAUGGUCACAAACGCACUGAAAGAGCUGAUAUUAUUUUUAGAUUGAAAAGAUACUGGGCAGUUCAGCAGUUCUUGUUUUUGAAGGUGGCUUUAUAUAUCUCUUAUUUUUGUCACUCAGGAUGAUUAUCAUUAACUUUGAUGACAGUCGAGAGCUUUUCCACACACUUAAGGUGAAUGGGUUUAUUCUACUAGUUUGGAGACUCGCUGGAAGAACCUGUCAUGGUUACAACCUGACAUAAUAUCAUGUGACAGCAGACUGUGCUCGAUUUUUGUUGUAUUUCUGUU